Non-coding RNA from Manis javanica (Malayan pangolin), 3000 nucleotides. NCBI's taxonomy places the organism in Eukaryota, Metazoa, Chordata, Mammalia, Pholidota, Manidae. The record is from RefSeq and is a predicted model, not a curated record.
CGGUCUUGCGUAUCUCUCGCCACUGUCUGUAACUCUGGUUACAGUCUCUCCACCCCCCUCCCCUACUGCAGACUUCUAAAUCCGUCCCAUUCCACCACGAAGCGGAGCAGGACAUAAGAACUGGACAGAAAAUUAGCCGUCACAAAGAAAAGUUCAUUUACAGCUUAAAUAUCUGACUAUUAAGAUUUCCUUCCGAAAACAAGGCGGUACACUCGGUCCAGGGGCGGAAAGAGCAGAAGCAGGAAAGAGGGAGAGAAGCGAUUUCACCCGGCAGCUAGCAAAGGAGGCUGUGGCCGGAGGGGCUGGGAGCAAAGCGCGCCGCGCAAGGACCCGGCCUGCGGCGGCGAUCCCCGGCGCCGGCCGGCCCUGCCUAGACCUGAGAAACUUGGUAGCCGCUUGGGAGAUUUAAGGACUUGCGGGGAGUGGAGCAGGGCCAGACAUUCUGGUGAAGGCAGAAACUGAGUGACAAGAGGACCACGGAGACCUUGGAGAGGAUAGCAGCAAAAUGGGAGAGACUUUUAAAUUGUGAGCAGAAGGCGACUUCCCUACUGAGGCAAGAGAGUGCAGCUGGCCACACUCACCCCACAUGGCGUGUCCACACUGUGGAAGCUUUGGGAUCAAGCUUCAAAACACAGGCGAGUCAGGCUUCCUGGUCUCCGAAAGUUGGGGCAAAAUGUGCCGGCAGAUAGCAGGGCUUGGAGGCUGGGACAGACCCACAAACCAUUCUUGCUGUAGGCAAAGGGUCUUUUUGUUGGUGGCCAGAAUCUUCUUGCUAUUGUCACCUGAAUUUUUUCAUCCCAUGCCUGCCUCCCUUUCUCUCUCUCCCUUUCCUUAUCCUUUUUGGAUUGAUGGGCUGUUCCCUUUUGCAUUUUUGACUCAGGCGUCGUCUGAUUACAAGUAAAGAGCCACUGAAGUUGAUCUCAUAAAAAUGCCGCCAGCUCACUUUGAUCUGCGAGGACUGGGUCCAAGCCUAAGUAGGCGCUAAAGCUGGGAAUGGCGGCUCGGGCCAACCAGGCCUUAGCUGGGCAGUGAGGCUGGAGAUCCGGGCGGCCCAAGCAGUGGUAAUCCUGCCCCGAAAAGACAUUUUCUGUGCUGCUGCAACUAGGUUUGGAAACCAAGGUCCAAUGGUAGUGACUCCAUCUCCAGACUGCUUUUAAGACAUUUCCUUCAUUUUAGAGCAUUUGGUGAGGGGCCCAGUGAAACUGGCUCGUAAAAUGGGGCUUUUAUGGGGAGAAAUGGGGUCACAUUGCUAUUCUCCUGGGACAAUCCCGCUGCCCAGUUAGAUGGGUGGGGCUGCAGGGGUAGAGGAGCUGCCCUCCUUCCCCCGUCCUGUUCAGGGGCCUGAGAGUAGUGUCCAUUUAGGUGGCUUGACUCGGGGCCUUGGGCUUGGGGCGAUGGCCAUGGCUGGGGAGUGGGAGGUGUCCUGGGCACAGGAUAAACUGCUGACUUGAAAAUCCAAGCACACUAAAGGUAUUAAUAAAUGCAAAGUAUUUCUAGAAGGGAGAGAAAUGCACAAAAAGGUGCAAGAUGAUUUCUAAUGAGGGUUCAUUCUUGUCCGCCCAGCCUUGGAACAGCUGAGGGUAUCCACUCAUUUAUUGCUUAUCUUCUUAUUGACUCCACUUGGGACUGAUCUUACAGUCCAAGCCCACCUGAGCUCUGACAACCGCCUUUCUUCUCCCUAGGUUUUCCUUCCAGUUCAUGGUCUGUGGGUGUUGGGUGAGCUCCUUUUCCAACCACAAUCUGCUCUCUAGAGCCCAAAGCAGCUGUAGGAGGUGGACAAACUGCAAGGCAGCCCCGCUCUGUGGCAAAGGAGGAAGAAUAUUAAGUCUCAGAAGCCUCUGCUGGGAGACCUUAGAGUUUCCUGGACAUCAACUCCUUUGACAUUCUUUCUUGCCUUCUCUUUUUGUUUCAAGGAAAUAAAGCUGCCAGCAGCUCCUUGCAGCCGCCUGGCUUACUUUUAUGGUGGCCCUGGAAUAAACUUUGGUGGUCAAAUUCAAGUGCUUAGGCCCACAGCUGGCUCCUCACAGGAAGCGCACCCCCCUCCCCCCCACUGUCGGCCCUGGCAGUGCAGAAUUCGCCUUGGGGGCUUGGGCCCCACAUCACCCUAGAGGCCAGGAUGGGGAAAGAAACAGGGCCCUGGGGGAAGUCGGGGAAAGCUGGAGCUGAGACUCUGAGCCCUCAUCCACACCUCUGCAAGGGUAAGGGUACCUCUUAUCUCCCUUUUGCCCAUUCCUAUCACUGUUUGGGGAGCAUUUUGCCUCCAAUAAACUCAAGUUUAAUGAGGUCAGCAUGAACCCGAUAAAAGCCACAGUCCAUAAUUCCCCAUCAUUAUAAUUAAAAACCUUGGCCCCAGCUCACCCUAUAAAAAGGAGUAGCGGAAGGGGGAAAAGUAGCAGACUUUUCUUCUUGCAGCCCCUUACCUACAGAGAAGUCCUACACUGUAGCAAAGUCCUAAUCUAGUUCUUCUUUGCCCUCAGUUAAGAUCUGGCCAGGCCAAAAGAAGGGUUUGGGAAGCAUGGCCCAGCAAUGAGUGGGUAGAGAGGUGAUGGAGGCCUAAUUCUGGGCAUUCCAGAGUCACCCCAGGAACGGGUCCCAUGGCUGAGGCAGCUCCAUGCCACGUGUUGCUGUAAAAGGCUUAGCAAAUUUUGGGAGGCAGGAGGCAAAAGGAAUGGAUUUGGGGAAAAGGUACAAUUUUUUUUUGUGUCUUCCCCAUUUAUUUUUGGGUCCUUGGGUAGCUCACCAAUUUCUGCCAGGAAAAUCAAAUCCAAAUAUUUUAAAAGUGAAAACCAAUUUUAACAAAGUCAGGGGUGAAAAGAGAAUUUGGGCCAUCUCUGGCUUUCUCCAAGAGCACAAUGAGCUGAGACCUUGGGCUUCAGUUUCUCCCCUCCUACCUGAACAAAUUGUACCCCGGUGGCUCCUCCUUGGAUCCAGGGUUACUCUCUGCUUGUGGCUGUUGCUCUGGCCCCUUGGACUCACUUCAGAAUCUUUCAAUAAAGUGAU